UCCCCAAACCUUUUGCAAACUUGAUUAACAGAUACACUAACCCCAACUUAAUACAGAUUGGAUCGGAGCAACGACAACAUAAAAAUCACUUCCUAUUACGGCGGACGUUCCGGUCGAGGAGAUCCAGUCGAAGGCGAUCAGCGGGCUGGGGGCCGAGCUGGCCGACCCGAGGGUGCUGAUCCGGGGGGGUUUGCUCAGGCGAUCCGGUCCGUGAGCAAUCAGAUGGCGUUCCUCGUCCUGCGGCAGUUCAUGAGCACGGUCCAGUGCAUCCUCACCGUCGCUAAGGAGGCGGUGAGCCCUCAGAUGGUGAAAUUUGCGACGGGGCUUAGCAACGAGUCCAUCGUUGACCUCCAAGGGAUCGUUUCCAUCCCCAAAGAUCCAAUAAAGGGGACGGGGCUUAGCAAAAUAUUUGUUGUUGGGUGUUUAGGCGAUUUCUGAGAUCUGAGGGAUUUAUUGGUAUCCAUACUCCGAAGUUGGUAGCUGGAUUAACUGAAGGUGGUGCAGCUUUAUAAACAAUGGUAAUAUGUGGUGGCUUUGGACGUGUGUUCGAAGUUGGCUAUGUUUUUAGAGCAGAGGAUUAAUAUACACAGGCAUUUAUGUGAAUUUGUUGGGCUUGAUGUUGAAAUGGAGAUCAAGGAGCACUAUUUUGAGGUUUGUGAUAUUGUGGACCGCUUGUUUGUAGAAAUGUUUGAUGACUUGAAUGAGAACUGCAAGAAGAAACCUGAUGCUAUCAAUAGACAGUGUCCUUUUGAACCCUUGAAGGUGAAUGCUAUGGUGUUUAUUUCGAGGAAAACUUAUAUUCUCAAGUGGCAUAAUAUGUCCUUAUGAUGUCCUUAAAUAUGAAAGAAUGAUGCUCUUUUGUGCUUUUGGACAACCUUCUCUUGUUUGUGGAUACUGAUUCUGAUUUGUUUGCAUUUUGCGGUACCUGAGAAAGACCUUGAGACUUACUUUCCAGGAAGGCAUCCAAAUGCUUCAGGUGCAUAUUUUUCAGUGUAAAAUAAUGGAUCAAGUUCA
Musa acuminata subsp. malaccensis (wild Malaysian banana) is the source of this 1014-nucleotide long non-coding RNA. RefSeq lists it as uncharacterized. NCBI's taxonomy places the organism in Eukaryota, Viridiplantae, Streptophyta, Magnoliopsida, Zingiberales, Musaceae. The record is from RefSeq and is a predicted model, not a curated record.